This 72-nucleotide transfer RNA is filed under the name Thermodesulfobium narugense DSM 14796. It matches the Rfam family "tRNA". From Rfam's summary of the family: Transfer RNA (tRNA) molecules are approximately 80 nucleotides in length. Their secondary structure includes four short double-helical elements and three loops (D, anti-codon, and T loops). The record is from Rfam by way of RNAcentral. Lineage: Bacteria; Pseudomonadati; Thermodesulfobiota; Thermodesulfobiia; Thermodesulfobiales; Thermodesulfobiaceae. RNAcentral also lists the same sequence under 1 other name.
GCGGGCGUAGUUCAAUGGUAGAGCAUCGGCUUCCCAAGCCGAGGGUUGAGGGUUCGAGCCCCUUCGCCCGCU